GAUUAAUGCUGACGGUGUGCAUAAUACAUGCAAGUCGAACGUGCAAUGUAAAAGUAGCAAUACAUUUGCAAAGCAAGUGGCGAACGGGUGAGUAACAAGUGGACAAUCUGCCCUUAAGAUCGGGAUAAUUAUUCGAAAGGAUAGCUAAUACCGAAUGUUUUAUAUCUUCAAUGAUUGAUAUAACAAAGGAAGCCGCAAGGCCUCCGCUUUUGGAUGAGUCCGCUGCCUAUUAGCUUGUUGGUAAGGUAAUGGCUUACCAAGGCUACGAUGGGUAGCCGGCCUGAGAGGGUGACCGGCCACACUGGAACUGAGACACGGUCCAGACUCCUACGGGAGGCAGCAGUGGGAAUUUUGCGCAAUGGGCGAAAGCCUGACGCAGUGGCGCCGCGUGGACGAUGAAGGCCUUCGGGUCGUAAAGUCCUGUCAAGUGGGAAGAAGUGUGUGGUGCCUAAUACGUACCAUACUUGACGGUACCACUAGAGGAAGCCCCGGCCAACUCCGUGCCAGCAGCCGCGGUAAUACGGGGAGGGCGAGCGUUGUUCGGAAUUAUUGGGCGUAAAGGGCACGUAGGCGGUCAAGCAAGUCAGAUGUGAAAGCCCUCGGCUCAACCGAGGAACUGCAUCUGAAACUGCUAGACUAGAGUUCGGGAGAGGAGAGUGGAAUUCCCAGUGUAGCGGUGAAAUGCGUAGAUAUUGGGAGGAACACCUGUGGCGAAGGCGGCUCUCUGGACCGAUACUGACGCUGAGGUGCGAAAGCGUGGGUAGCAAACAGGAUUAGAUACCCUGGUAGUCCACGCUGUAAACGAUGGGUACUUGGUGUAGCGGG
RNAcentral lists this ribosomal RNA (825 nucleotides) under uncultured bacterium. RNAcentral's name for it is "bacterial SSU rRNA". It matches the Rfam family "Bacterial small subunit ribosomal RNA", at positions 28 to 829 of the family's 1533-position model. The record is from RNAcentral.